UACAGAGGUGGCAAGCGUUGUUCGGAAUUACUGGGCGUAAAGCGUGCGCAGGCGGUUCGUUGUGUCGGUGGUGAAAGCCCCGGGCUUAACCUGGGAAUGGCCAUGGAAACUGGCGAACUGGAGUGUGGCAGAGGGGGGUGGAAUUCCGCGUGUAGCAGUGAAAUGCGUAGAUAUGCGGAGGAACACCGAUGGCGAAGGCAAUCCCCUGGGCCUGUACUGACGCUCAUGCACGAAAGCGUGGGGAGCAAACAGG
This 253-nucleotide ribosomal RNA is filed under the name uncultured bacterium. Its description in RNAcentral is "partial 16S ribosomal RNA". It matches the Rfam family "Bacterial small subunit ribosomal RNA", at positions 524 to 776 of the family's 1533-position model. The record is from RNAcentral.